RNA transcript from Onychostoma macrolepis, 4694 nucleotides. It is a transcript of the gene named zinc finger protein 658B-like, with no coding region annotated. The transcript has 6 exons. Lineage: Eukaryota; Metazoa; Chordata; Actinopteri; Cypriniformes; Cyprinidae. The record is from RefSeq and is a predicted model, not a curated record.
CGACCGCACGUCAACGGCGCCGCCAUAUUGGUGCGGGCAACUCUCCAUAAAUCUCAUUUCGGGACAGAAGAAAACAUACCUGACUCGUCGGCAGCUUGGGCAUCACAGACCGUCGCACAAUAAUCUAUUGAUCUGCUCCUCUUACUGUACAGCGAUCACAAUCACACCUUCAGUGAAGCUCCUCCCACAACAAUCACACCUUUAGUGAAGCUCCUCCCACAACAAUCACAGCUUCAGUGAAACUCCUCCCACUGCAGUUCAGCAAUAAAUGCUGGAAUAUUCCCAUCAGUCUACAAGUGAAGACGAGCAUCAGAGCAUCAGGAAGAAGUGAAAUCUGCAGAGACAGAGUUUAUCGAAGGACAGAGAGAACAUGAGAGAUCCAGAACCCUGCAGAAUGAAACACACUGAAGAACAAACAGAACUGAAUGAAGAGGAGGAGAGACAUCAUGUCAAAACUGGAGAAAAACCUUUGAGUCGCUCUCAAACCAAACAGAAAGAUUUAAAGAAAAGAAGAGAUGAGAAAUCUUUCACCUGCACUCAGUGUGGAAAGAGUUUUACAAGCAAACAGAAUCUUGAGGUUCACAUGAGGAUCCACACUGGAGAGAAACCAUUCACAUGUGAUCAGUGCGGGAAGAGUUUCACAGAAUCAUCAUCCCUUAAGGUGCACAUGAACAUCCACACUGGAGAGAAACUGCAUGAAUGUGAUCAAUGCGGCAAAACAUUUUUGAGAGCUUCACACCUGAAGGAUCACCUGAAAGUUCAUUCAAAGAUGAAACCACAUUCAUGUUCUUUAUGUGGAAAGAGUUUUUCACAUCUGCAGAGUUUAAAAGUUCAUCAGAAGAUACACACUGGUGUGAGAGAUCAUAUGUGUUUUGAGUGUGAGAAGACUUUUAUUACAGCUCAACAAUUAAAACGGCACCAGAGGAUCCACACUGGAGAGAAACCUUACAUGUGUUCACACUGCAACAAGACAUUCAGUCAUUCAGGACCGUUGAAAACACAUGAGAGGAUCCACACUGGAGAGAAACCUUACAAGUGUUCACACUGUAACAAAAGAUUCAGACGAUCAGGAGACCUGAAAUCACACGAGAGGACCCACACUGGAGAGAAACCUUACAUGUGUUCACACUGUGACAAGACAUUCAGUCGGUCAGGAGACCUGAAAACACAUGAGAGGAUUCACACUGGAGAGAAACCUUACAAGUGUUCACACUGCAACAAAAGAUUCAGUCAGUCAGGAGACCUGAAAUCACAUGAGAGGAUCCACACUGGAGAGAAACCCUAUCACUGUACUGCAUGUGGGAAGAGUUUCGCUCAUUCAUUUUCUCUUCGCAUGCAUACAAAAAACAGUCACAAGUUGACUGAAGAAAACGAGGAUAAUGAAGAGGACAAGAAACAUCAUGUCAAAACUGGAGAAAACUGGAGUCACUGUCAAACCAAACAGAAAGAUUUAAAGAAGAUAAGAGAUGAGAAAUCUUUCACUUGCACUCAGUGUGGAAAGAGUUUUACAAACAAACAGAAUCUCGAGAUUCACACGAGGAUCCACACUGGAGAGAAACCGUUCACAUGUGAUCAGUGUGAGAAGAGUUUCACACAAAAAGUACACCUUAAGAUUCACAUGAGGAUCCACACUGGAGAGAAACUGUUCACAUGUGAUCAGUGUGGAAAAACAUUUUUGAGGGCUGAAGGCCUGAUGAAUCACCUGAAAGUUCAUUCAAAGGAGAAACCACAUUCAUGUUCUAUGUGUGAAAAGAGUUUUUCACUCCUGAAGACUUUAAAAGUUCACCAGAAGAUACACGCUGGUGUGAAAGAUCACAUGUGCUUUGAGUGUGAGAAGACUUUUAUUACAGCUACAGAGUUGAAACAGCACCAGAGGAUCCACACUGGAGAGAAACCUUACAAGUGUUCACACUGCGACAAGAGAUUCAGUCUGUUAGGAACCCUAAAAUCACACGAGAGGACCCACACUGGACAGAAACCGUAUCACUGCACUGCAUGCGGGAAGAGUUUCACUCGAUCAUCAUCUCUUCACAUGCAUACAGAAAAGAAUCACAGUGCCGCUUUUGAAGCAUUAAAAGCUCACAAACAAUGCUUUAAAUGAAAUCGACCGAUCACCGCAGAUUAGCGUCACGCAAAGGAGGGGUUUGGAAAAAUGAGUCGUUUGGGAGUUCUUGAGCAAAUAAGAAUUGAAGAAAGCAAGGAGAAUGAAGAACUGAGUGAAGAGGAGGAGAAACAUCAUGUCAAAACUGGAGAAUAUUUUUCGCUCUCAAACCAAACAGAAAGAUUUAAAGAAAAGAAGAGCCAAGAAAUAUUUCACCUGCUCUCAGUGUGGAAAGAGUUUGACCAGCAAACAGAAUCUCGAGAUUCACAUGAGAGUUCAUACUGGAGAGAAACCGUUCUCAUGUGAUCUGUGCGGGAAAGGUUUUAGAACAUCAUCAAACCUUAAGAACCACAUGGACAUCCACACUGGAGAGAAACUGUAUGGAUGUGAUCAGUGUGGAAAAACAUUUUUGUGGGCUUCAGGCCUGAAGAAUCAUUUGAAAAUUAAUUCAAAGGAGAAACCUCAUUUAUGUUCUUUGUGUGGAAAGAGUUUUCACAACUGCAAAGAUUAAAAGUACAUCAGCAGAUACACACUGGUGUGAGAGAUUAUAUGUGCUUUGAGUGUGAGAAGACUUAGUAGCAAAGGUUUGGAGUUUUGGAGUAAUAUAAUAAAAAGAAAACAAGUAGAUAGAAUAGAAAAUUAAUAAGUAAUAUUGUUAGAGGGUCAGUUUUUUAAAAUAAAAAUAAAAGGUCAAAAGAAUAGAGAAUGCUAGUGUCAGAGUGUCAUUUUUGAUAAUGAAUAAAAAGAAAACAAGAUAGAAUAGAGAAAGCUAGUAUUAGAGGCUUUUUUUUUUUUUUUAAGAAAACAAUCAGAUAAAAAAUAAUAGAGAGUGCAAGCGUUUUUUUGUUUUGUUUUUGUUUUGUUUUUAUUAAAGGGGUCAUAUAAUGCUAUAUCCACUUUUACAAGUUGAUUGUACUGAAAUGUGUGUUGGCAGUGCCUGUACACAACCAUCCUAUUAUGAUACAAAUCCAUCCAGUGUUUUUAUUUUUAAUCUCCUAAUAUGUUUUCCCCUGUCUCAAAUCGAGCUGAUCGUCUUGUGACGUCACAAGAUUGGAGGCCCCUCCCACGAUUGUUGAUUGACAGGAGCGUUUCAACACAGACCCGCCCUGAUCGAGCUGUCAUCAUAGUCCGCCAUUGUUGAUACGCUGGAGCAGAAUGGCGUCUAAGCAAUCGUGGUGUUCUGUUAUUGGGUGUAAUAACGAACACAGCAGUCGUUUUGAUGUUACUAAAUCAGAACCGCUGAAGACGCAGUGGCUGAGUUUUGUUUUCGAAGGGAAUAGUCCUCCAGAUCAACCUCAAUUCUUUCAUGUUUGCGCGAAUCAUUUCUCACCAGACUGCUUUAUAAACGAGGGUCAGUUUAAAGCUGGUUUUGCCAAGAAGCUGCUCCUGAAAAAAGGAUCGGUACCAACUAUUCGUGUUCCUGCUGCACCUUCAGAAGAAGUGAGUGUAACGUUUUAUUAACCUUUUUAUUAAUCUUUGCUAAUUGCUUGCAUGUUUCACCAUGAAUGUGGCUAAAGUUUACACUAACUUUCAUUACGUGAAAUCAGGUGUUCAUUACGUGAAAUCAAGUGUUCAUUACGUGAAAUCAAGUGUACAUUACGGCAUGUUUUCUAUGUACGACGUUCUCAAUGUAAUUCAUAAUCCCAUGUUUGUAAUGAACAACGCGUUAUGGUUAUUGUGUUAUUAUAAACUGUGUACGCUGUGGUAAAGUUAACGUGGUAACAGUGCAUUAAGCUUACUUUUGUAGAUGGUUUAUAAUGGUGUCUGUUACUGAUUAAUAAGUAAUUUUAAAAAAGUGUUGUAAUAGUUGUAACUGUAUGAAGAUGAAUGGUAACUUUAACACAAUACCUGCAAAAUAAUGUUUACAUCCUGCAAAUGCAUAUGAUUCAAGACUAUAAAUACUUUGUGUCUCACUACGCUACCCUGCCAGUACAUACAAAGAUAGAUCAAAGUGACAUUACGUUAACCAACCAUUCAGAAACGUCCUGUUCGAGCCUCAAACCAAACAGAAAGAUUUAAUGAAAAGAAGAGCCAAGAAAUCUUUCACCUGCUCUCAGUGUGGAAAGAGUUUGACAAGCAAACAGAAUCUCGAGAUUCACAUGAGAGUUCAUACUGGAGAGAAACUGUUCUCAUGUGAUCUGUGCGGGAAAGGUUUUAGAACAUCAUCAAACCUUAAGGACCACAUGGACAUCCAUACUGGAGAGAAACCGUUCUCAUGUGAUCUGUGCGGGAAAGGUUUUAGAACAUCAUCAAACCUUAAGGACCACAUGGACAUCCAUACUGGAGAGAAACUAUUCACAUGUGAUCAGUGUGGGAAGAGUUUCAGAUAAUCACCACACCUUAAGAGACACAUGGACAUCCACACUGGAGAGAAGCUGUAUGGAUGUGAUCAAUGCGGAAAAACAUUUUCGUGGGCUUCAGGCCUGAAGAAUCAUCUGAAAAUUCAUUCAAAGGAGAAACCACAUUCAUGUUCUUUGUGUGGAAAGAGUUUUUCACAACUGCAAAGAUUAAAAGAACAUCAGAAGAUACACACUGGUGUGAGAGAUUGUAUGUGCUUUGAGUGUGAGAAGACUUAGUAGCAAGGGUUUAGACU